RNAcentral lists this ribosomal RNA (465 nucleotides) under uncultured bacterium. RNAcentral's name for it is "partial 16S ribosomal RNA". It matches the Rfam family "Bacterial small subunit ribosomal RNA", at positions 338 to 795 of the family's 1533-position model. The record is from RNAcentral.
CCUACGGGGGGCAGCAGUGGGGAAUAUUGCGCAAUGGGCGAAAGCCUGACGCAGCGACGCCGCGUGAGGGAUGAAGGUCUUCGGAUCGUAAACCUCUGUCAGCAGGGAAGAACGGUCACUGUGCUAAUCAGCAGUGAAUUGACGGUACCUGCAAAGGAAGCACCGGCUAACUCCGUGCCAGCAGCCGCGGUAAUACGGAGGGUGCGAGCGUUAAUCGGAAUUACUGGGCGUAAAGCGCUCGUAGGCGGUAUGUCAAGUCAAGGGUGAAAUCCCCGCGCUCAACGUGGGAACUGCCUUUGAAACUGGCAAACUGGAGUGUGGGAGAGGAUAGUGGAAUUCCAGGUGUAGGAGUGAAAGCCGUAGAUAUCUGGAGGAACAUCAGUGGCGAAGGCGACUAUCUGGCACAUAACUGACGCUGAGGAGCGAAAGCGUGGGUAGCAAACAGGAUUAGAUACCCCAGUAGUC